Molecule: ribosomal RNA, 899 nt
Filed under: Paraburkholderia xenovorans LB400
Lineage: Bacteria; Pseudomonadati; Pseudomonadota; Betaproteobacteria; Burkholderiales; Burkholderiaceae
Description: bacterial SSU rRNA
Rfam family: Bacterial small subunit ribosomal RNA
Source: RNAcentral
GAACGGCUGGGUAAUACAUCGGAACCUGUCCUGUAUUGGGGGAUAGCCCGGCGAAAGCCGGAUUAAUACCGCAUACGCUCUGCGGAGGAAAGCGGNGGAUCUUCGGACCUAGCGCUACAGGGGCGGCCGAUGGCAGAUUAGCUGGUUGGUGGGGUAAAGGCCUACCAAGGCGACGAUCUGUAGCUGGUCUGAGAGGACGACCAGCCACACUGGGACUGAGACACGGCCCAGACUCCUACGGGAGGCAGCAGUGGGGAAUUUUGGACAAUGGGCGCAAGCCUGAUCCAGCAAUGCCGCGUGUGUGAAGAAGGCCUUCGGGUUGUAAAGCACUUUUGUCCGGAAAGAAAACCUCUGCCCUAAUACGGUGGGGGGAUGACGGUACCGGAAGAAUAAGCACCGGCUAACUACGUGCCAGCAGCCGCGGUAAUACGUAGGGUGCAAGCGUUAAUCGGAAUUACUGGGCGUAAAGCGUGCGCAGGCGGUUCGCUAAGACAGAUGUGAAAUCCCCGGGCUUAACCUGGGAACUGCAUUUGUGACUGGCGGGCUAGAGUAUGGCAGAGGGGGGUAGAAUUCCACGUGUAGCAAUGAAAUGCGUAGAGAUGUGGAGGAAUACCGAUGGCGAAGGCAGCCCCCUGGGCCAAUACUGACGCUCAUGCACGAAAGCGUGGGGAGCAAACAGGAUUAGAUACCCUUGUAGUCCACGCCCUAAACAAUGUCAACUAGUUGUCGGGUCUUCAUUGACUUGGUAACGUAACUAACNCCUGAAGUUGACCGCCUGGGGAGUACGGUCGCANGAUUAAAACUCAAAGGAAUUGACGGGGACCCGCACAAGCGGNGGAUGAUGUGGAUUAAUUCNAUUCAACCCGAAAAACCUUACCUACCCUUGACAUGUAUGNAAU